GGCUGGAGACGGGGAGACACGCUCAAACUGGGGCUCACAGAGCCGGCCACAGACUGGGCUCCGAGGGCGGCUCUUCUCGGGGCCUGGCUAUCGGGGACCCAGUGCCCAUCACCACCUGGGGCAGGGAUGAGGGAGUCUGCGGCCACCGCACGAUCCUCCCCCACCCCCGGGGACCCCAGACCCUGCGCCGACUCCCGGAGCCUCGGCCCCUUUAAGGGCCCGCCCCCGCCCGGACGCUCCACGCCCGGACGCUCCGGCGCCCCCGGUUGCCGCCGCGGUCCUCAGCUACCAGAUGGGAAGACUAAGACCCCAAUAGGACCCAACAGUUCUCCAGCACCACAGUGAAAAAACCGAGGCACCCAGAAAUCAUGUCCUUCUUGCUGUCAGAUCGGAGCACCGAGGCCAAGCGAACGGCCUGCACGCCCAUUUCUCCGCAGAGCCAGGGAGGCCACUCACCGGCCCGUAGUCCCGGCGCAGCUGCUGCUCGCCCCGGAAGCGCACGUGGAUGCCGUAGCGCGCCACGUACAAGUUCUCCGAGCAGAAGCAGGCGCAGCGGCAGAAGCGCCGCGGGGCCCCAGCCGUCGCCAUGGUGAAGAGGACUGCGCCGCUUCGCAGGCUUCCGUAAGAGCACUUCCGGCGCGCCCCCAGGGGCCGGUGUGGAACCAGCGGCAAGGGUCCGUUCUAAGUUCCCAAGUGCAGAAGAAAACGCAGACUCCGGCCCAGAAAACGGUCUUCAGUGGACAAAGAUGCUCCCGGGCCGGGGUGGGGCGGACGGCCUAGGCUGAGAGCGCGUGGUCUUCUCGUUCCGCCUCACGGCCUCCCCAUCCACGAGGCGGGGACUAAUCGCCCCACUUUACAGAUAGGCAGACUGAGUCACACCUUCACAAGCCGGAGACAAGUUGGGACUUGUAACCCCUAAGGUCUUUUGCUUAAACACUGCCUCCUUUUUCUGCUCGGAGCUUUUGAAGAGGCAG
This is a long non-coding RNA of Ailuropoda melanoleuca (giant panda), 974 nucleotides long. RefSeq lists it as uncharacterized. The transcript has 3 exons. Lineage: Eukaryota; Metazoa; Chordata; Mammalia; Carnivora; Ursidae. The record is from RefSeq and is a predicted model, not a curated record.